GCUGCCCAUUCAUACAUGCCUUUCCCAAUUUUCUUAGUUAAUGCCUUAGCAAGUUCUCUAAACCUCCGGAAAAGUUUACUUGACUGAAGUUUGCUGAGAGUACUUGAGAAAGCAUUAAUAGGUGUUUUAGAGGUCUCCUCAACCUUUGGGUGCAAAGAAUGCCGACUAUCAUUUAAUAUCACAAUCAUAUUUGAGUCCAAAUAGCCUGAAUUGCGCAUUGCCUCAUAAACUUGGCCAGCCAUAAUCGUUUCAUUGUUGAUCACUGCCACUACACGAUCACGCUUCCCCUUCAAAUCUCGGGCAAUGGCCAUUCCGAGUCCAGCAGAUACGCUGUUGCAUCCAUGCCCAACUCCGAAGGGGUCGAAUCCGCCUUCAAAAUCUGGCGCUGCCACAGGCCAGCCAUUUGUUUUUUCAAGUGCUUGCAUAAUCUGCCUCCUUCCAGUGAGAAGUUUAUGUGCAUAUGUUUGUUCAGCGACAUCCCACAAUAUUUU
Molecule: unclassified non-coding RNA, 491 nt
Filed under: Hevea brasiliensis (rubber tree)
Lineage: Eukaryota; Viridiplantae; Streptophyta; Magnoliopsida; Malpighiales; Euphorbiaceae
Source: RNAcentral